This 215-nucleotide long non-coding RNA is filed under the name Jatropha curcas. RNAcentral describes it as "long non-coding RNA (JCUR_LNC000408)". Lineage: Eukaryota; Viridiplantae; Streptophyta; Magnoliopsida; Malpighiales; Euphorbiaceae. The record is from RNAcentral.
UUGAGAUUUGAUUGUUUUGAUCAAGAAAAUGCAGGAAUGAGUGGUUUUAGGGUGUCAAAUGGCAUAUCUCUGAAUUUGCUCUUUCUUUUUUUCUUUUUCUAGUUUCAAGAUUUGGAAUAGGUCAAUUUUGGGGGUUAUUGUAUUCAAAUUAGUGACAAUUGGAGAUUGUCAAAGGGAUGAGUUGAUAAUGGUUUGAGAACAUUUAGGUCUGUAAA